GGUGGUCGAGUUUAUUGAGUCUAAAACGUUCGUAGCCGGUUCGGUAAAUCUUUGGGUAAAUCGGGGGGCGUAACCUCCCGACUUCCGAGGAGACUGCCGAACUUGGGACCGGGAGAGGCUAGAGGUACUUCUGGGGUAGGGGUAAAAAGUCCUGUAAUCCUAGAAGGACCACCGGUGGCGAAGGCGUCUAGCUAGAACGGAUCCGACGGUGAGGGACGAAGCCCUGGGUCGCAAACGGGAUUAGAUACCCCGGUAGUCCAGGGUGUAAACGCUGCAGACUUGGUGUUGGAGGCCCUUUGGGGGCAUCCAGUGCCGGAGAGAAGUUGUUAAGUCUGCUACUUGGGGAGUACGUCCGCAAGGAUGAAACUUAAAGGAAUUGGCGGGGGAGCACCGCCAACGGGAGGAGCGUGCGGUUUAAUUGGAUUCAACACCGUAAAACUCACCAGGGAAGACUGUUACAUGAAGGCCGGGCUAAAGACUCUGCCAGAUUUUCAGAGUGGAGGUGCAUGG
Molecule: ribosomal RNA, 510 nt
Filed under: uncultured archaeon
Lineage: Archaea
Description: bacterial SSU rRNA
Rfam family: Archaeal small subunit ribosomal RNA
Source: RNAcentral